Molecule: ribosomal RNA, 497 nt
Filed under: uncultured bacterium
Lineage: Bacteria
Description: partial 16S ribosomal RNA
Rfam family: Bacterial small subunit ribosomal RNA
Source: RNAcentral
GAUGAACGCUGGCGGCGUGCCUAAUACAUGCAAGUCGAGCGAACAGAUAAGGAGCUUGCUCCUUUGACGUUAGCGGCGGACGGGUGAGUAACACGUGGGUAACCUACCUAUAAGACUGGGAUAACUUCGGGAAACCGGAGCUAAUACCGGAUAAUAUUUCGAACCGCAUGGUUCGAUAGUGAAAGAUGGUUUUGCUAUCACUUAUAGAUGGACCCGCGCCGUAUUAGCUAGUUGGUAAGGUAACGGCUUACCAAGGCGACGAUACGUAGCCGACCUGAGAGGGUGGUCGGCCACACUGGAACUGAGACACGGUCCAGACGCCUACGGGAGGCAGCAGUAGGGAAUCUUCCGCAAUGGGCGAAAGCCUGACGGAGCAACGCCGCGUGAGUGAUGAAGGUCUUCGGAUCGUAAAACUCUGUUAUUAGGGAAGAACAUACGUGUAAGUAACUGUGCACGUCUUGACGGUACAUAAUCAGAAAGCCACGGCUAACUACGUG